CCCUUAGAUGUUCUGGGCCGCACACGCGCUACACUGAAGGAGGCAGCGUGUACUCCUGGAUCGAAAGAUUUGGGUAACCCGCGAAUCUCCUUCGUGCUAGGGAUUGAGGUUUGCAAUUAUCCUUUAUGAACGAGGAAUUCCCAGUAAGUGCAAGUCAUAAGCUUGCGCUGACUACGUCCCUGCCCUUUGUACACACCGCCCGUCGCUACUACCGAUUGAAUGAUUUAGUGAGGACUUCGGACUGGGACCGAUGCGGCUUUCGGGCUGCGUCGGUAUUCUGGAAAGAUGUCCAAACUGUAUCAUUUAGAGGAAGUAAAAGUCGUAACA
Molecule: ribosomal RNA, 327 nt
Filed under: uncultured eukaryote
Lineage: Eukaryota
Description: partial 18S ribosomal RNA
Rfam family: Eukaryotic small subunit ribosomal RNA
Source: RNAcentral